Molecule: long non-coding RNA, 757 nt
Organism: Gorilla gorilla gorilla (western lowland gorilla)
Lineage: Eukaryota; Metazoa; Chordata; Mammalia; Primates; Hominidae
Exons: 3
Source: RefSeq, a predicted model, not a curated record
GACUGGAAUCCAGUGAGGUCACACAGGCGCUCUGGAAGCCAGUGAUGCAGUAUCAGAAUCUGGGAACACAAUGAGGCAAUGUUUCAGCUGCUUGUGCAUUCUUCACCUCCCAUUGUCUCUGUCUCUCUCUUUCUCCUCUGCUUCCCCUCCCCCCACAACCAAAGUCAAGAGCGCAGACCCCAUGAUCACCUGAUACCUCCAAGCAAGCAGGUGUUCUUUUCAGAAGCCAGAAGCUGAUAACCUUGGCUUUCUGAUCUAACUCCAGCCCAAAUUCAUUGCAAUGGAGGAAUUGGGGAGGAGAUUCUUCCAACUGAGAAGUGGGUGCCAACUCUCCCUUUCAAAUUUGUUCAUCAACAAACUAAAGGGGAUGCCAGAAAUGUCUGGAGCAAUGGAAGAACCAUUGGAAUAAUGCUCCUGCCUGAUUGCAUCUACUUAACCCACUCUCCAAGAGCCAGAAUCAGAUUUCAACCGUAUGGAAUCAUCUACAAUGCAGCAGAUGGGUUUACAAGUCUCUUGGUCUCUUCGUGUAAUUAACAGCCAAGAAGUCUAAAGCUUGCAUUGUUUACGUGGAAGAUGUUUCUUGCCCAUUCCCACGCCAUGCCAUCUGAAAUCGCUCCUUUUUUAAUUUUUUCUGUGCAGUUUUUUUAACUUUGUGGGAUCCUCUGCAUAUAAAACUCCAUUCAACUACUUCAUCCUACUGUAGAAAGCUACUUCCCUAUGAGUUUAGCUCCAUGAUUUACAAUGGUUUCUUUUCCCA